CGCGGCGCGGCCACAGCCGUAAAACACCCCAAACUUCUGAAAUGUUGACCUCGGA
This 55-nucleotide ribosomal RNA is filed under the name Trichoderma longibrachiatum. RNAcentral's name for it is "partial 28S ribosomal RNA". The record is from RNAcentral. Lineage: Eukaryota; Fungi; Ascomycota; Sordariomycetes; Hypocreales; Hypocreaceae.